UGGAUUAAGAGCUUGCUCUUAUGAAGUUAGCGGCGGACGGGUGAGUAACACGUGGGUAACCUACCCAUAAGACUGGGAUAACUCCGGGAAACCGGGGCUAAUACCGGAUAAUAUUUUGAACUGCAUAGUUCGAAAUUGAAAGGCGGCUUCGGCUGUCACUUAUGGAUGGACCCGCGUCGCAUUAGCUAGUUGGUGAGGUAACGGCUCACCAAGGCGACGAUGCGUAGCCGACCUGAGAGGGUGAUCGGCCACACUGGGACUGAGACACGGCCCAGACUCCUACGGGAGGCAGCAGUAGGGAAUCUUCCGCAAUGGACGAAAGUCUGACGGAGCAACGCCGCGUGAGUGAUGAAGGCUUUCGGGUCGUAAAACUCUGUUGUUAGGGAAGAACAAGUGCUAGUUGAAUAAGCUGGCACCUUGACGGUACCUAACCAGAAAGCCACGGCUAACUACGUGCCAGCAGCCGCGGUAAUACGUAGGUGGCAAGCGUUAUCCGGAAUUAUUGGGCGUAAAGCGCGCGCAGGUGGUUUCUUAAGUCUGAUGUGAAAGCCCACGGCUCAACCGUGGAGGGUCAUUGGAAACUGGGAGACUUGAGUGCAGAAGAGGAAAGUGGAAUUCCAUGUGUAGCGGUGAAAUGCGUAGAGAUAUGGAGGAACACCAGUGGCGAAGGCGACUUUCUGGUCUGUAACUGACACUGAGGCGCGAAAGCGU
RNAcentral lists this ribosomal RNA (711 nucleotides) under Bacillus mycoides. Its description in RNAcentral is "bacterial SSU rRNA". It matches the Rfam family "Bacterial small subunit ribosomal RNA", at positions 68 to 762 of the family's 1533-position model. Lineage: Bacteria; Bacillati; Bacillota; Bacilli; Caryophanales; Bacillaceae. The record is from RNAcentral.